CUAGUUUCCACCAAGCCAGAAAGAAAAGCCUUCUGGUUUUUGUGUUAUCUUUGUUCAGAGUGAUCUGCUCAAAAAACCAAAAACAAUAUCAUCAAUAUAUAUAUUUAUAUUUAUGUAUAAUACAUGCUGAUGAUGAUGACUUUGUCUAUGCAGAGAGAGCAGUUUAUAAUAAUAUUGUUAAAAAUGGCACCUUUAACUCUCUUUCUUCUUUUCUUAUCUUCAUCCACAUAUUGUUGCUCUGCAGUUUCUAAUCUAACUUCUUCAAAACCACUCUCUCUGAAACAAACUCUGAUCUCCUCCAACCAAGUUUUCGAAUUGGGGUUCUUCAAUCCCACCAACUCAUCAAAGCAAUAUCUGGGUAUUUGGUAUAAGGGAGACUCUUCUCCUCACUCGGUUGUCUGGGUUGCCAACCGUGAAGAUCCACUCUCGCUCACUGACACUUGGGCUCUUCUUCAAAUCAGCAGUAAUGGAAAUCUCGAGCUUCUUAAUGGAACCCCACAAAACUCCUCUGUACUUUGGUCAACCAAAGUUGACCUCUCUUCCAACUCUACGCUGGCUAUACUCUUAGACAACGGAAACUUCGUCCUCAGAGACUCCACUUCAGGAGCAGAUUUAUGGCAGAGCUUCCAGCACCCAUGCGACACUUUCUUACCCAGCUCCGUUCUCGGUUUCAAUCUCAAAACCGGAGACAACUACAAAAUCAAUUCGUGGAAAGCCGAAAACGACCCUUCUCCGGGAGAUUUCACGUUCGGGAUCGCGAAGAAGAAGCCGCCGGAAGCCGUGGUUUGGAUUGGAUCCGCCAUUUACGCGAGAAGCGGACCUUGGGACAAGCUCAAGUUCACCGGCGUACCUGACAUGGCUUCUUCGUACAAGAGUCCAUACAAUCUGGUUGAAGACGUAGAAGAAGGGACGACGUAUCUCUACUUCAACAAUGGCUUCAACAACUCGGUUCUGUCGAAGGUGUUGCUCUCGCCGGACGGAAUGGUUUCGAUCAUGCUCAAAGACAAGGCUGGUUACUGGUACGCUAACUAUCAGGGUCAGAACGAAUGCGACCAGUACGGCAUCUGUGGCCCUUUUGGGGUCUGCAAGAUCACAGAUUCUCCAAUGUGUAAGUGCUUAAAAGGGUUUGAGCCAAAAUCAGUGGAAGAGUGGAACAAAGGGAAUUGGAGUGGAGGGUGUGUUAGGCAAACUGAGCUGCUUUGUCACAAGAAAAGUAACAAUAAUGUUAGUGAGAAUAAUGGGCAGAAGAAGGAUGAGUUUGCCAAGAUUGGACAGGUUUGUGUUCCUGAUUUCUAUGAGUAUAUGGAAGCUGCUCCAAGUGUUGAUGCAUGCCAUACAUUGUGUUUGAAUAAUUGUUCUUGUAUAGCUUAUUCUUUUAUCAGUGGAAUAGGGUGUUUGGUGUGGUCAGACACACUUGUUGACAUUACAGAGUUUGAAUCUAGUGGAGAUGAUCUGUUUUUUCGCCUUGCACAUUCAGAACUACUAGGUGAAGGAGGGCAUUCGAGUAAGACCAAAAUCAUCAUUGGCCUUGUUGUAGCGGUUUCUGCUGGUGCAGCAUUAUUAGCUGUUGUAACCUUCUGUUUGCAUAGACGAAAAGCUAAGAGAAAAGCCACUACUGCAACAAAUAAUGAGUUGAUUUGGACAAGUACUAACUUGAAGAGAGGAGAUGAUCAACCUGAGCUUCAUUUUUUUGAGUUGGAUAGUGUUCUAAUAGCCACAAACAAGUUCGGCAUUACAAACAAGCUUGGUCAAGGAGGGUUUGGUCCUGUUUAUAAGGGACAACUACAUGGGAAGGAAGUUGCAGUGAAAAGACUGUCUAGCAGCUCAUCACAAGGCGAUGAAGAAUUUAGAAAUGAAAUGAUAUUGAUCUCCAAACUUCAACAUAGAAAUCUUGUUAAGCUCAUUGGUUGCUGCAUUGAAAAUGAAGAGAAGUUGUUAAUAUACGAGUUCAUGCUCAACAAGAGCUUGGAUACUUUUAUUUUCGAUGAUAGAAGAAGGGUAGAGCUUGAUUGGGCCGUACGAUUCAACAUUAUUGAUGGCAUUGCGAGAGGUCUUGUGUAUCUCCAUCGCGAUUCCAGUUUAAGGGUGAUCCAUCGAGAUUUGAAGGCCAGUAAUAUUCUAUUGGAUGAGAAGAUGACUCCAAAAAUUUCUGAUUUUGGAUUAGCAAGGAUUUUUGAAGGCACGUUAGAUCUAGCAAAUACUCAUAGGGUGGUAGGAACAAUUGGUGUGUUUAAUCAAUUGCAGCGGCUAUAUGUCUCCAGAGUACGCAUUGAGAGGAAUCUUUUCGGAAAAAUCUGAUGUGUUUAGCUAUGGCGUGUUACUACUAGAGAUAAUAAGCGGGAAAAAGAAUACUAGCUUCAAGGAUGAGGAUCAAUACCAAGGCCUUAUUGCAUAUUCAUGGCAGCUAUGGAGUGAAGGCAGAGGAAUAGAGUUGGUGGAUGAAGCAUUGGGCGAGUCAUAUAAUGAAUCAGAGGCAUUGAAAUGCAUACACAUUGGGCUUCUGUGCGUUCAAGACUUUGCCACAGAUCGACCUUCCAUGGCUCAAAUAGCUUCCAUGUUAAGUAACCAAAUAUUUGAUCAACCUCAACCCAAACAACCUAUUUUUACUUUUCAAGCCAGCAGUAGUAGUUAUGAUCCUUCCACACAAAGUGGUAGCAGAUGCUCUGCCACUAUAUCAGUGGUUGAACCUCGAUAAAAAUAAAAUUUAAUGCUUAUAUGA
RNA transcript from Humulus lupulus (European hop), 2719 nucleotides. It is a transcript of the gene named G-type lectin S-receptor-like serine/threonine-protein kinase At1g61490, with no coding region annotated. The transcript is spliced from 7 exons. The record is from RefSeq and is a predicted model, not a curated record. NCBI's taxonomy places the organism in Eukaryota, Viridiplantae, Streptophyta, Magnoliopsida, Rosales, Cannabaceae.